AGACAAGGGCGUACGGUGGAUGCCUUGGCUUGAAAGAGCGAUGAAGGACGCUGCGUAGCGGCGAUACGCUUCGGGGAGGUGCCGAGCAACCUUUGAUCCGAAGAUGUCCGAAUGGGGAAACCCGUCUCGAUGAAUGAUCGAGACACUCCGACGCAAGUCGGAGAGCGCACCCGGGGAAGUAAAACAUUUCAGUACCCGGAGGAAAAGAAACCAAUUGGUAUUUCCUUAGUAGCGGCGAGCGAAAAGGAAUCAGCCUAGAUUGAACGGUUCGCAAGAACUGUUUGAAGUUGUAAGGCAAGAAUUUCGUAUUUAUACGAGGAAAGUUAUUAAAUUGUUCGUUAGUGGAAGCUUCUGGAAAGAAGCGCCCCAGAGGGUGAUAGUCCCGUACACGAAAACGAACGAUCUUUCUUGUUUUUGUCCUUAAGUACCUCAAGACACGAAUACCUUGGGGGAA
This 454-nucleotide ribosomal RNA is filed under the name Candidatus Taylorbacteria bacterium RIFCSPLOWO2_12_FULL_48_11. RNAcentral's name for it is "bacterial LSU rRNA". It matches the Rfam family "Bacterial large subunit ribosomal RNA", at positions 1 to 442 of the family's 2925-position model. Lineage: Bacteria; Candidatus Tayloriibacteriota. The record is from RNAcentral.